GGGGGUGUAGCUCAGCUGGGAGAGGACUUGCCUUGCACGCAAGGGGUCAGGAGUUCGAUCCUCCUCAUCUCCACCA
This 76-nucleotide transfer RNA is filed under the name Paraclostridium bifermentans. RNAcentral describes it as "tRNA-Ala". It matches the Rfam family "tRNA". Rfam says of the family: Transfer RNA (tRNA) molecules are approximately 80 nucleotides in length. Their secondary structure includes four short double-helical elements and three loops (D, anti-codon, and T loops). Further hydrogen bonds mediate the characteristic L-shaped molecular structure. tRNAs have two regions of fundamental functional importance: the anti-codon, which is responsible for specific mRNA codon recognition, and the 3' end, to which the tRNAs corresponding amino acid is attached (by aminoacyl-tRNA synthetases). tRNAs cope with the degeneracy of the genetic code in two manners: having more than one tRNA (with a specific anti-codon) for a particular amino acid; and 'wobble' base-pairing, i.e. permitting non-standard base-pairing at the 3rd anti-codon position. Lineage: Bacteria; Bacillati; Bacillota; Clostridia; Peptostreptococcales; Peptostreptococcaceae. The record is from RNAcentral.